UCGUUAGAUAAGCACUGCUGUGAUAGAAUCGUGGAUCCAACAGUGUGGAAUGGUUCCGGUGUGUUGGCGGUUUAUUGAUUUGCACGGUUGAGGCGAGCUCGGCAUAAUGGGGAAAUUGCUAUCGAAAAUUUUCGGCAACAAGGAGAUGCGGAUAUUAAUGCUGGGGCUCGACGCAGCUGGCAAAACUACUAUUUUAUAUAAGUUAAAAUUAGGUCAGUCAGUCACAACGAUACCGACAGUGGGCUUCAACGUAGAGACCGUCACGUAUAAAAACGUCAAAUUCAACGUCUGGGACGUUGGGGGACAGGACAAAAUACGACCACUAUGGAGGCAUUACUACACAGGCACCCAAGGCCUCAUAUUUGUUGUCGACUGCGCGGACAGAGAUCGCAUCGACGAGGCUCGCCAGGAGCUGCAUCGGAUUAUCAACGAUCGGGAGAUGCGCGACGCUAUCAUACUCAUCUUCGCCAACAAGCAGGACUUGCCAGACGCGAUGAAACCACACGAAAUACAAGAGAAGUUGGGAUUGACGCGCAUCAGGGACCGCAACUGGUACGUGCAACCCUCGUGUGCGACGACAGGCGACGGGCUCUACGAGGGCCUCACGUGGCUUACGAGCAACCACAAAUUAUGAGCUGCGGAGUAGGCGGCAAGCGUCCACAGCCGCCUGCAUUUGCCACGGUAAAAUGCUACCAUAUUUAUAUUCUCUACAGGUGAGGAUAUCGAUGCCAUUUAAGUUAAGUAAGCUGCGAGUGCCGUCGGAUCUUGUAAUUCCAUUGUGAACCAGUGUCAAUACAGUUGAACUGAACAGUGUACGGUGCAGGGAAAAAAACUGUCCGAGACGAAAGGACUCCACAAUAAUUAGUUAGCAAAAAUCGAGUGAACAACCUAUUGUCACAUAACAAAUCAAUUAUUCCAUUAUUUAAUUAAUUAUUAAAAAGAAACUAGAAGUUUGUUGUAUUGAGAUAUUUGAUUAUUUUUUAUGUUAUUUAAAACGAAAG
Molecule: RNA transcript, 1001 nt
Organism: Hyposmocoma kahamanoa
Lineage: Eukaryota; Metazoa; Arthropoda; Insecta; Lepidoptera; Cosmopterigidae
Gene: Arf51F
Gene name: ADP-ribosylation factor 6
Exons: 6
Source: RefSeq, a predicted model, not a curated record